RNAcentral lists this long non-coding RNA (1507 nucleotides) under Monodelphis domestica (gray short-tailed opossum). RNAcentral describes it as "lncRNA (ENSMODG00000044726.1)". Lineage: Eukaryota; Metazoa; Chordata; Mammalia; Didelphimorphia; Didelphidae. The record is from RNAcentral.
CCCUUAAUGAGUUUACAACUGUCCAGCCACAAUUAAGAUUUUUCCACAAAAGCUUUUUUUCAUUUAUUUUGUCUGGUCUCAGAAGAUAAGGGGGGUGUGAGGAAACAGCCCCCUUUUAUGGGGACUGGUUGCUGCCCCUUGGGCGGCUUGGGCUCCAGUUUGGACAUUUAUCUUUCAUGUUUUCUAAGCAACAGGGUAAGAGGAUGGGCAGUUGUUUCCCCCCUUCUCCUUUCUAUAAUUGGGACCCUGCAGCGGGCUGGAAGUGGGACUGGCGUCCCUGGCCCCAAGGCCAGCUUGUUAAAGGGGGCCAGCUGCUGGGGCCCUAGUCCUAGGCAUUCCAGAGAGCUGCAGUGGCGGCAAGUGACCAGCAGAUGGCAGUGUGAUUCCACGGAAGCAACCCGCUGCCGCCAUGAAGCCUUCAGCCUGGACUCUGGGCAACUUCUAAAAUGUCGACUUUAUGGGAGUAUUUCUGGAUUUGAAGCCACUGAUUUGAGUUUAACAACGUAAGAAAAAAGGAGAGAGGAUCACCAGGAUUCUGUAGGGUUUUGUUUUCCUGAUUCGGAGCGGGAGAGGGGAGAGAAUUAACCACCAAUAUUGAAAGUGCGAGCGGGGUUCAAGUCCCAGGAAAGGAGAGAAAAGGAAGGAAUCCAACAAUACCUCUGUUCCAUACGCACAAGCACACAGCACCACUUCUAUCAUUCCACGAGGAGAGGGAGGAAGCCGGGAGCUGGGUUUGUUUCCAAAUGGAAAAAGCAAAAGAAAACUGAGAAAACCACUAACCCACCCGGGAGCUCUGGGAAUCCGGCACACGUUGUAUUUAUUUGGGUUAUUAUAGUCUCCGCCAAGCCCACAAAAUGUUUAUGACCCAGAUCUCCGCGACAAACGCGUUGUAAAAUUGAGGACGGGAUUUUGGCUGCCCGUCGCCCUCUUCCUUUCUUUUAUUCUGUGUUUGGGGGUUCAUAUCUAUAUCCAUGUUUGUCUCUGGGUGGGCGCAUUUAGUCAAGAUGGUGAAAUGACUUCAUAAACUGGCAUUCGGACCUGGACAGAUUUGCGUUUGUGUGUCUAUAUUCUGAUUCCAUGGAGAACGGUUUCUCUCUAGAUAUUGGAUGUGUAACUAUGUAUGUUUACAUGUAUACACACAUGUGUGCGUCUAGAAUAUUAGCUGUGUGUGUGCAUAAUGCACAGAGAGAUAUUUCUCUAUUUUUCCAGAUAUACACCCAUAUACGUCAGCCCAAAGGCUGGUUAGUUUGUUCAGGUUGUCCAAGCCGGGAAUUUGACUAGCCAGAGGCAGGGCAGAACCCACUGAAGGUGUUCGGCCUGUCUUACCCAGGGCUGUGUCAGCAGAGAUUUCGAGCCCCCAGUGCACCCGCCACAAAUGCUCCGGACUGGCGGGGCGGCCUCGGAGAUCCCGGGCUGCGUGGGAGCCCCUGAACUCGCAGAGAGGCUCGGGAGAGUGGUUAGUGGCCAUCGCUCCCUUUUAGCUCCGUUCGCCACCCCGGCAGGGCCA